ACGCUGGCGGCAGGCUUAACACAUGCAAGUCGAACGGUAACAGGAAUUAGCUUGCUAAUUUGCUGACGAGUGGCGGACGGGUGAGUAAUGCUUGGGAAUCUGGCUUAUGGAGGGGGAUAACUACGGGAAACUGUAGCUAAUACCGCGUAAAAUCUUCGGAUUAAAGGGUGGGACUUUCGAGCCACCUGCCAUAAGAUGAGCCCAAGUGGGAUUAGGUAGUUGGUUAGGUAAAGGCUGACCAAGCCGACGAUCUCUAGCUGGUCUGAGAGGAUGACCAGCCACACUGGAACUGAGACACGGUCCAGACUCCUACGGGAGGCAGCAGUGGGGAAUAUUGCACAAUGGGGGGAGCCCUGAUGCAGCCAUGCCGCGUGAAUGAAGAAGGCCUUCGGGUUGUAAAGUUCUUUCGGUGACGAGGAAGGUUGAUAGGUUAAUAGCCUAUCAAAUUGACGUUAAUCACAGAAGAAGCACCGGCUAACUCCGUGCCAGCAGCCGCGGUAAUACGGGGGGUGCGAGCGUUAAUCGGAAUAACUGGGCGUAAAGGGCACGCAGGCGGUGACUUAAGUGAGAUGUGAAAGCCCCGAGCUUAACUUGGGAAUUGCAUUUCAUACUGGGUCGCUAGAGUACUUUAGGGAGGGGUAGAAUUCCACGUGUAGCGGUGAAAUGCGUAGAGAUGUGGAGGAAUACCGAAGGCGAAGGCAGCCCCUUGGGAAUGUACUGACGCUCAUGAGCGAAAGCGUGGGGAGCAAACAGGAUUAGAUACCCUGGUAGUCCACGCUGUAAACGAUAUCGAUUUGGGGAUUGGGCUUUGAGCUUGGUGCCCGUAGCUAACGUGAUAAAUCGACCGCCUGGGGAGUACGGCCGCAAGGUUAAAACUCAAAUGAAUUGACGGGGGCCCGCACAAGCGGUGGAGCAUGU
This 918-nucleotide ribosomal RNA is filed under the name uncultured bacterium. RNAcentral describes it as "bacterial SSU rRNA". It matches the Rfam family "Bacterial small subunit ribosomal RNA", at positions 33 to 942 of the family's 1533-position model. The record is from RNAcentral.